AACCUGCUGCGAGAGCCUCAUUUGCAUAUCAGGUAGUCGGGACGAGUCCGAGCAAGCAAGCAAGACGGCGACCGUCACACUCGUCCGCUGAAAGGACUCCGUGAGGUUGCCGCCACGCCCGAGCUCGGUUUACAAUCCGCUUACGUCAGCAGCUCCAAGUCGUAACCGAGACAUUUACAUACUGGGCGGCACGGUGGACGACUGGUUAGAGCCCCGUGCCUGCGUGGAUCUUCUCCGGGCACUCCGGUUUCCUCCCACAUCCCAAAGACAUGCAUGUUAAGGGUGUACCCCGCCUCCUGCCCCAUGACAGCUGCGAUAGGCUCCAGCACGCCCGUGACCCGUGUGAGGAAAAGCGGCUCAGAAAAUGGAUGGAUGGAUUUACAUACUGUUCAGGUGUAAAGUGCCUAAUCUUGUCCAACUUCCAACAUAUUGGCAUUAAUCUCCAUCAUAAUCGAAGUGACAAACCAAAAUUCACCUUUUAAAUGUUUAUCUUCCACUCAAAGGUUGUGCUGAUCUCCAAUCCAAAGUGAUGCAACAGCAUCAUCUGCAGGGAUUAGAUAGUCAUCACAGUGGUUUACAAACCCGUAUUUCACAGACAAGCUGGACGAGACCCUCCUUCACGCCGACCUCUUGA
Phyllopteryx taeniolatus (common seadragon) is the source of this 634-nucleotide long non-coding RNA. RefSeq lists it as uncharacterized. The record is from RefSeq and is a predicted model, not a curated record. The transcript has 4 exons. Lineage: Eukaryota; Metazoa; Chordata; Actinopteri; Syngnathiformes; Syngnathidae.